Molecule: long non-coding RNA, 474 nt
Organism: Anarrhichthys ocellatus (wolf-eel)
Lineage: Eukaryota; Metazoa; Chordata; Actinopteri; Perciformes; Anarhichadidae
Exons: 3
Source: RefSeq, a predicted model, not a curated record
UUCUUUCACUGUCGGUAAGUCACAACUAUCGGUGUAAGAAUCCAAGUUAAUCGUCUUGUUUUUGAGUUAAUCGAACUAAUCUUUAACAUUUUCCUUUCAGUUUUCAGCCUCCUCUUCUCGACAUGAGAGCUAAGUGGAGAAAGAAGCGCAUGCGCAGACUGAAGCGUAAAAGGAGGAAGAUGAGGCAGAGGUCCAAGUAGACCGUCCUCCCCGCCAUGGCUGUGACAGCACAUGUUGCCUACAACCAGACCGGUGAGGCUGGCUCAAGAUCCAGGACUCUCCAGGUGUCAAGUCUGUCAGUGGCACCCAUAUCAACGUGAGGCAGCAGAGCUGCAGCGGCUGACUUGUGUUGGAGAGCUGAUUCAAGGCCUGCUGGAUGACAGGCUUUUCCUCGGACAUUCUGGACUUUGUUGUUAAUUCCUCAACUUUUGACCUUUUUUGUUUAAACUGUGAUUAAAGGUUUUGGUUUCUAAA